UACGGAGGGGACUAGCGUUGUUCGGAAUUACUGGGCGUAAAGCGCACGUAGGCGGCUUUGUAAGUCAGGGGUGAAAUCCUGGAGCUCAACUCCAGAACUGCCUUUGAUACUGAAGAUCUUGAGUUCGGGAGAGGUGAGUGGAACUGCGAGUGUAGAGGUGAAAUUCGUAGAUAUUCGCAAGAACACCAGUGGCGAAGGCGGCUCACUGGCCCGAUACUGACGCUGAGGCACGAAAGCGUGGGGAGCAAACAGG
This 253-nucleotide ribosomal RNA is filed under the name uncultured bacterium. Its description in RNAcentral is "partial 16S ribosomal RNA". It matches the Rfam family "Bacterial small subunit ribosomal RNA", at positions 524 to 776 of the family's 1533-position model. The record is from RNAcentral.